This 74-nucleotide transfer RNA is filed under the name Pygoplites diacanthus. RNAcentral describes it as "tRNA-Thr". It matches the Rfam family "tRNA". Rfam says of the family: Transfer RNA (tRNA) molecules are approximately 80 nucleotides in length. Lineage: Eukaryota; Metazoa; Chordata; Actinopteri; Pomacanthidae. The record is from RNAcentral.
GCACUAGUAGCUCAGACACUCAGAGCGCCGGUCUUGUAAACCGGAUGCCGGGGGUUAAAAUCCCCCCUACUGCU